This 397-nucleotide ribosomal RNA is filed under the name uncultured bacterium. RNAcentral describes it as "partial 16S ribosomal RNA". It matches the Rfam family "Bacterial small subunit ribosomal RNA", at positions 523 to 918 of the family's 1533-position model. The record is from RNAcentral.
AUACGUAGGGGGCGAGCGUUGUCCGGAAUGAUUGGGCGUAAAGGGCGCGUAAGCGGCCCGGUAAGUCUGGAGUGAAAGUCCUGUUUUUAAGAUGGGAAUUGCUUUGGAUACUGUCGGGCUUGAGUGCAGGAGAGGUAAGUGGAAUUCCCAGUGUAGCGGUGAAAUGCGUAGAGAUUGGGAGGAACACCAGUGGCGAAGGCGACUUACUGGACUGUAACUGACGCUGAGGCGCGAAAGUGUGGGGAGCAAACAGGAUUAGAUACCCUGGUAGUCCACACUGUAAACGAUGAAUGCUAGGUGUAGGGGGUAUCGACCCCUUCUGUGCCGCAGUCAACACAAUAAGCAUUCCGCCUGGGGAGUACGGCCGCAAGGUUGAAACUCAAAUGAAUUGGCGGGG